RNAcentral lists this non-coding RNA (116 nucleotides) under Longilinea arvoryzae. RNAcentral describes it as "SAM-I sequence". It matches the Rfam family "SAM riboswitch aptamer (S box leader)". Rfam says of the family: The SAM riboswitch is found upstream of a number of genes which code for proteins involved in methionine or cysteine biosynthesis in Gram-positive bacteria. The SAM riboswitch acts at the level of transcription termination control. The record is from Rfam by way of RNAcentral. Lineage: Bacteria; Bacillati; Chloroflexota; Anaerolineae; Anaerolineales; Anaerolineaceae.
CGCUCAUCGAGAGAGGUGGAGGGACCGGCCCUGUGAAACCUCGGCAACCGCGGAUGAAAACGAAGGUGCCAAUUCCGGCAGAACCCGCUCACAACGGGCGUUCUGGAAGAUGAGGA